UACGAAGGGUGCAAGCGUUAAUCGGAAUUACUGGGCGUAAAGCGUGCGCAGGCGGUUCUAUAAGACAGAUGUGAAAUCCCCGGGCUCAACCUGGGAACUGCAUUUGUGACUGUAGAGCUGGAGUACGGUAGAGGGGGAUGGAAUUCCGCGUGUAGCAGUGAAAUGCAUAGAUAUGCGGAGGAACACCGAUGGCGAGGGCAAUCCCCUGGACCUGUACUGACGCUCAUGCACGAAAGCGUGGGGAGCAAACAGG
This 253-nucleotide ribosomal RNA is filed under the name uncultured bacterium. RNAcentral describes it as "partial 16S ribosomal RNA". It matches the Rfam family "Bacterial small subunit ribosomal RNA", at positions 524 to 776 of the family's 1533-position model. The record is from RNAcentral.